UAAUAAAGAUCGUAAUCAAUCUGCAUUCGCUUGAAAGGAUACAGAGAAGAUUAGCAUGGCCCUGUGCAAGGAUAAUACGCAAAAUAUAAUGUAUCGAAGACAGCGAAUGAUU
Schistocerca cancellata (South American locust) is the source of this 112-nucleotide small nuclear RNA. The record is from RefSeq and is a predicted model, not a curated record. NCBI's taxonomy places the organism in Eukaryota, Metazoa, Arthropoda, Insecta, Orthoptera, Acrididae.